This 251-nucleotide ribosomal RNA is filed under the name uncultured microorganism. RNAcentral's name for it is "partial 16S ribosomal RNA". It matches the Rfam family "Bacterial small subunit ribosomal RNA", at positions 346 to 586 of the family's 1533-position model. The record is from RNAcentral.
GCGCAGCAGUCGCGAAUCUUCCACAAUGGGGAAACCCUGAUGGAGCGACGCCGCGUGCGGGAUGAAGGCCCUAUGGGUUGUAAACCGCUGUUCAGUGGAAAGAACAUCCUCCGGCUGAAUAGGUCGGAGGCCUGACGUUACCACUGCAGAAAGUCCCGGCCAACUCCGUGCCAGCAGCCGCGGUAAUACGGGGGGACGGAGCGUUGUCCGGAAUCAUUGGGCGGUAAAGGGCGGCGUAGGCGGCGAGGAAA